CCCUGGGCGGCCCAACUGGUUGGGCACUUGACUACUAACCAAAAAGUUGGUGGUUCGAACCCACCCAGAGGUA
Molecule: transfer RNA, 73 nt
Filed under: Loxodonta africana (African savanna elephant)
Lineage: Eukaryota; Metazoa; Chordata; Mammalia; Proboscidea; Elephantidae
Rfam family: tRNA
About the family: Transfer RNA (tRNA) molecules are approximately 80 nucleotides in length. Their secondary structure includes four short double-helical elements and three loops (D, anti-codon, and T loops). Further hydrogen bonds mediate the characteristic L-shaped molecular structure. tRNAs have two regions of fundamental functional importance: the anti-codon, which is responsible for specific mRNA codon recognition, and the 3' end, to which the tRNAs corresponding amino acid is attached (by aminoacyl-tRNA synthetases). tRNAs cope with the degeneracy of the genetic code in two manners: having more than one tRNA (with a specific anti-codon) for a particular amino acid; and 'wobble' base-pairing, i.e. permitting non-standard base-pairing at the 3rd anti-codon position.
Source: Rfam by way of RNAcentral